GCACCAGUCACCUCGGGAGUGAAACGGGGCGAACAGUAUCCCUCCCCCGGAUCGAACUCGCUAACAUUUGUGACGCGCUCAGACUGUGCUGGCUGGGUCAGGCGUUCAACAAAUGUUAGCCCUCCUCAUCCUCAUCAUUCUGACGGCGCGCCGCCCGGCGGCCCCUGACAGCACCCACCCUGUGGACCCUCCCCUCGCUUCUGCCUCAGUUUGCAGGCUCCCUUCCUUGAGAGCCACACUGCCCAGGGCUGGGGGGGACCCGGGACCUCGCACCCUUGGCCCUUUCUGCUGCCCGUCACCCUGUCACCUGAAGGACAGACCCCUGCACGUGGGCUCUGGGCUAGGCCCUGCGUGCGAGGAGUGGGGUGGCCAGGUGGUGAAGAGCGUGGCUUCCAGGCCACGGCCACCUGCUCGCUGGGAGACGGAGAGAAGCCGCUUCAGUGCCUCCCGCUCCUCACCUGCAGAGCCGGGUGGCUGGCGCCUCCUGGGACUCUCUGAGGCCCCAUGUGGCCCCCUGAGAGCUGUGCCUGAGAGCUGUGUGCGGCAGGCUCUCCUGCUUUGGCUGCACUGUCCUCGUCAGGGGCUGGGAGCUCGGGUGAGGACAGGAGGGCAGGGAGCUGUGUCUGGUCAGGAGCCUCUGUCGGACUCAAGGGCACAGAAGCCCCACCACUUCCGGGAGCUCCCUGAAGGGUGGGCCGGGCACACUGCCACCAUCUAACCUUGUCUCCCUCGCCCUCUUCCUGGCCCCACCCGGCAGUGGCGAUGGAUGAUGAGGAUGGGAGAUGCUUACUAGACGUGAUCUGGUGAGUAACGGCUCCCGCCUCCGUCCCAGACGCCCGCCCUCCCGCCUGCCCAGCUCACCGCCUCAGUGCCCCUCUCUCUUCUCUUCCAGUGACCCUCAGGCCCUCAAUGACUUCUUGCAUGGGUCGGAGAAGCUGGACAGUGAUGAUCUCCUGGAUGCCCCCGGGGAGGCCCAAAGUGCCUUCUAUGAAGGUCCUGGGUUGCAGACCUCAGACCAAAGCCCAGAGCAGCCUCUUCCCAGUCCACCACUGUAAGUGUCAAUCACUGUGUACUUACUCUGCACCUGGCUCCUUGUGGCGAUUGUCACUUAGUCCUCAGAGCAACUCUAAUAUUAGAUUCAAACAUCAUAGUGUAGGUGAUUAAAUUCAGAAACACAACAGUGGCACCUCCUGUAGUGUGAUUAUGUUUAUAGACCCAGCAGCAACAUUGGCCUAGGCGUUUACUAUUUUAUGGUCAUUGUUCUAGUCAUAACUGUCGUCCUUUUGUAGCUGUGGGGUCCCUGGCUGAGUCGUGAGUUCUGCCCGCAGGUGAUAUCUUUCCACACCGAUCUGGGGCUUACUGGCCUUUUCCUCGGGCAGUUAGAGGCACCGCCUGCCUGGCCUUCAAGGUUGGGGGCUGAGAGGAGCCCUGUCCCACCAGCCCCGUCCCCUCUCACCAGCUGGGACUCUGGGCCUCCCCGUCUGGAAGCCAGGCUGGGAGCAUUGCCCACCUCCCUGAGCUGCUGUUGACAUCCCAGGAGGCAGUGAUGGUGACCGUGGCAUCUCUCACACUCGUGCCACGUGCCAGGCAGUGCUGUGAGCUCUGUGGAUCAGGAUCUUUCCAAGUGCAGGAUUCCUCCCCCCGCCUCCCUUUUUUUCUUUUGUGGUUCUGGGAAUUAAAUCCAGGGCCCUCACACUGAGCUACAUCCCAGGUCCCCCCCGCCCCCAUUAUUUUUUAUUUUUAAGUCAGGGUCUCACUAAGUUGCUCAGGCUGGGCUUAAAUGUGUGAUCCUCCUGUCUCAGCCUCUCAGAGGGCUGGAAUUACAGGCCUGCACCACUGCACCUGGCUUCCAACUGCAGGUUUAGAUCCAUUCUCUGGGCAAAGAUCACUGGCUGAGGCACCCCAGCCUCAGUGUGGCCUGUGGAGCGCUGGUCAGUUGUGCAUGCUUGUAUUUCUAGGUGCAAGACCUGGAUCUCCAGGUCUCCAGGAGCAGGAGAAACAGUUGAGAAAUGCUCCACACAUGGUGCAUUUGGCACCAGCGCUCAGAUGGCAGCUGCUGCCACCAUCAUUGCUGUGGUUUUUUGUUUUGAGACAAGGUCUCAACAGGCUGCCUUGAACUAUGUAGCCCAGAUUGGCCUUGAACUCAGUGAUCCUCCUGCCUCAGCCUCCCGAGUGCUGGGAUUACAGGUGUACACAACGCCACCCAGCAUUGCUGUGGUUUUUAACCCAGCCUCUGUCCUUCAUUGGACACCUCUGGGGCCAGGCGUGUUUUAGAAAUGCAGAAUUUUUCAGAUUCUGGAAUGGGG
RNAcentral lists this long non-coding RNA (2306 nucleotides) under Heterocephalus glaber (naked mole-rat). RNAcentral describes it as "lncRNA (ENSHGLG00000035310.1)". The record is from RNAcentral. Lineage: Eukaryota; Metazoa; Chordata; Mammalia; Rodentia; Bathyergidae.